UACGUAGGGUGCGAGCGUUAAUCGGAAUUACUGGGCGUAAAGCGUGCGUAGGCGGUUCUCCAAGUCCGUUGUGAAAGCCCCAGGCUCAACCUGGGAAUGGCAGUGGAAACUAGGGGACUGGAAUCUGGCAGAGGGGGGUGGAAUGCCGCGUGUAGCAGUGAAAUGCGUAGAGAUGCGGCGGAACACCGAUGGCGAAGGCAGCCCCCUGGGCUGAGAUUGACGCUCAGGCACGAAAGCGUGGGGAGCAAACAGG
Molecule: ribosomal RNA, 253 nt
Filed under: uncultured bacterium
Lineage: Bacteria
Description: partial 16S ribosomal RNA
Rfam family: Bacterial small subunit ribosomal RNA
Source: RNAcentral